AAAAUGGUUUUUUUCAAAACCACUUUGAGAAAGCAUCCAUUUUAA
Non-coding RNA from Deltaproteobacteria bacterium, 45 nucleotides. The record is from Rfam. Lineage: Bacteria; Pseudomonadati; Myxococcota; Myxococcia.